Non-coding RNA from Vicia faba (fava bean), 237 nucleotides. Lineage: Eukaryota; Viridiplantae; Streptophyta; Magnoliopsida; Fabales; Fabaceae. The record is from the annotation of a GenBank genome assembly.
AUGUUUGUGUUUGUUGUUGUAUACAGAUCGAAAAAUAGAGAAAGAAGAAGAGAAACGAUCCGUCGCAAGAACAACCAUCGUGUGCGAGGGAUUGUUAAUGACGUAACCGGCGGCCACUGUGAAGCCACCUCUGUGCAAACCGCAACGAACAACAAGCUACCGACCCUACCCGCAUCCGUCUGCCCUCCAAAUCGCGAACACAGCCCAAGCUCCACCGCGAGAAACCCACAACUCUAG